This 497-nucleotide ribosomal RNA is filed under the name uncultured bacterium. RNAcentral describes it as "partial 16S ribosomal RNA". It matches the Rfam family "Bacterial small subunit ribosomal RNA", at positions 28 to 507 of the family's 1533-position model. The record is from RNAcentral.
GAUGAACGCUGGCGGCGUGCCUAAUACAUGCAAGUCGAGCGAACAGACGAGGAGCUUGCUCCUCUGACGUUAGCGGCGGACGGGUGAGUAACACGUGGAUAACCUACCUAUAAGACUGGGAUAACUUCGGGAAACCGGAGCUAAUACCGGAUAAUAUAUUGAACCGCAUGGUUCAAUAGUGAAAGACGGUUUUGCUGUCACUUAUAGAUGGAUCCGCGCCGCAUUAGCUAGUUGGUAAGGUAACGGCUUACCAAGGCAACGAUGCGUAGCCGACCUGAGAGGUUGAUCGGCCACACUGGAACUGAGACACGGUCCAGACUCCUACGGGAGGCAGCAGUAGGGAAUCUUCCGCAAAGGGCGAAAGCCUGACGGAGCAACGCCGCGUGAGUGAUGAAGGUCUUCGGAUCGUAAAACUCUGUUAUUAGGGAAGAACAAAUGUGUAAGUAACUAUGCACGUCUUGACGGUACCUAAUCAGAAAGCCACGGCUGACUACGUG